Molecule: transfer RNA, 66 nt
Filed under: Marmota monax (woodchuck)
Lineage: Eukaryota; Metazoa; Chordata; Mammalia; Rodentia; Sciuridae
Description: tRNA.Ala
Source: RNAcentral
GCUGAGGUAGCUCAGUGGUAGAGUACUUGCCUAGCAUGAAUGAGGCACUGGUUUCGAUCCUCAGAA